AAUAUAGUGGAGGGAUUUGCACGCUUGCAACCACUAUAAAAAAUGCUAAAAGUCAUGAA
Molecule: non-coding RNA, 59 nt
Organism: Bacteroidales bacterium WCE2008
Lineage: Bacteria; Pseudomonadati; Bacteroidota; Bacteroidia; Bacteroidales
Source: Rfam